UACGUAGGGGGCAAGCGUUGUCCGGAAUCAUUGGGCGUAAAGGGUGCGUAGGCGGGUCUUUAAGUCAGGGGUGAAAUCCUGGAGCUCAACUCCAGAACUGCCUUUGAUACUGAGGAUCUUGAGUUCGGGAGAGGUGAGUGGAACUGCGAGUGUAGAGGUGAAAUUCGUAGAUAUUCGCAAGAACACCAGUGGCGAAGGCGGCUCACUGGCCCGAUACUGACGCUGAGGCACGAAAGCGUGGGGAGCAAACAGG
RNAcentral lists this ribosomal RNA (253 nucleotides) under uncultured bacterium. RNAcentral describes it as "partial 16S ribosomal RNA". It matches the Rfam family "Bacterial small subunit ribosomal RNA", at positions 524 to 776 of the family's 1533-position model. The record is from RNAcentral.